CAAGCACGGCAGUGCCCGCGUCCUUGACAUUC
RNAcentral lists this non-coding RNA (32 nucleotides) under Geobacter sulfurreducens KN400. Lineage: Bacteria; Pseudomonadati; Thermodesulfobacteriota; Desulfuromonadia; Geobacterales; Geobacteraceae. The record is from RNAcentral.